AUUGAACGCUGGCGGCAGGCCUAACACAUGCAAGUCGAACGGUAGCACAGAGAGCUUGCUCUCGGGUGACGAGUGGCGGACGGGUGAGUAAUGUCUGGGAAACUGCCCGAUGGAGGGGGAUAACUACUGGAAACGGUAGCUAAUACCGCAUAAUGUCGUAAGACCAAAGAGGGGGACCUUCGGGCCUCUUGCCAUCGGAUGUGCCCAGAUGGGAUUAGCUUGUUGGUGAGGUAAUGGCUUACCAAGGCGACGAUCCCUAGCUGGCCUGAGAGGGUGACCAGCCACACUGGAACUGAGACACGGUCCAGACUCCUACGGGAGGCAGCAGUGGGGAAUAUUGCGCAAUGGGCGCAAGCCUGAUGCAGCCAUGCCGCGUGAGUGAAGAAGGCCUUCGGGUCGUAAAGCUCUUUUAGCGGGGAGGAAGGAGUUACGGUUAAAAUCCGUGUUGAUUGACGUUACCCACAGAAGAAGCACCGGCUAACUCCGUG
Molecule: ribosomal RNA, 488 nt
Filed under: uncultured bacterium
Lineage: Bacteria
Description: partial 16S ribosomal RNA
Rfam family: Bacterial small subunit ribosomal RNA
Source: RNAcentral